GAGGUCAAGAAGCUCACGCGGGAGAGC
Molecule: transfer RNA, 27 nt
Filed under: Peddiea africana
Lineage: Eukaryota; Viridiplantae; Streptophyta; Magnoliopsida; Malvales; Thymelaeaceae
Description: partial transfer RNA-Phe
Source: RNAcentral